Molecule: ribosomal RNA, 301 nt
Filed under: uncultured bacterium
Lineage: Bacteria
Description: partial 16S ribosomal RNA
Rfam family: Bacterial small subunit ribosomal RNA
Source: RNAcentral
CAGUAGCCGCGGGAAUACGAAGGGGGCUAGCGUUGCUCGGAAUCACUGGGCGUAAAGGGCGCGUAGGCGGACUUUUAAGUCGGAGGUGAAAGCCCAGGGCUCAACCCUGGAAUUGCCUUCGAUACUGGGAGUCUUGAGUUCGGAAGAGGUUGGUGGAACUGCGAGUGUAGAGGUGAAAUUCGUAGAUAUUCGCAAGAACACCAGUGGCGAAGGCGGCUCACUGGCUCGAAACUGACGCUGAGGCACGAAAGCGUGGGGAGCAAACAGGAUUAGAUACCCGGGUAGUCCCUGUCUCUUAUAU